UUCCGGGUUGAGAUUGUUCAGAGCAAGUGUGACUUCUCCAUGCUCUUUUCUGUGUGGCUGGAAGCAAAAAAAAAUUCUAGAUAGAAGCAGCUUCUGGAUCCCUCUCUCAGUGCUGGAAGAAGGCUGCUAAGAAGAGUCACCUAUUCACACCGGACUUGUGCGCAUGGAAGACAAGCUUACUGUGAAGCUGACCCAAAUCUCAAUAGCCUACCAUGACCAAUGUGUGCCAGCCGUUGUGUGCCUGGUGCCAUCAGCUGUGACGAGCAGCUGCAAGGAAGACAGCGGCCUGCCAGCCAUGAGGACAAGGUAAAGGGUCUCCAGGGAUCUUGUAGAAGCCUGGAGUGGGGGUGGAAGUGGAGGAUAGGAAGUAAAAAUUGGGGGAAAAAGGGCUAUAGGACCCAAUUCUCCCCACACAGCCCCGGGACACCCACGGGAAGCCAGGACCCAGGAGCUGUCCCUUCUUCCACACGAGAGCUUGGAGGCAAAUGCAAAGUCAGCACCAAACUGCAAAUAACUUUCCAGACACCCUCACAGCCUUGUGAAUGGAGGUGACACCCUCUUUCAAACUGGGAAUCCUCAGCCUCCGCAGCUGGCCCCACUCCCAGGAGCAUGAAUCUGCUUUGGCCUGGAAACCACACCGUUUGCUCCAUGCGUGGGGCCGAGGGAAGGGGAUGAGAAAGGGAAGAAUGCAGUCUGGCCACAGGCUGAGGAAUGCCUAAUGACAGCCCUGUCAGGCUUCUCAGGAAAAAAUAACAAAACAAAGAACCCAACCAACUCAGAAGUAAGCCAUCUGCCUCCCUGGAAGCCGUAACCUGACAGGGAAAGUAAUACCUCAGUGUGAAUUAAUUUACGAUGAGUCAGGAAGGAUGGGGACCCUCGAGGGAAGAACAGCCCUUCCGGGUUGGGCAGGGGAGGAGGCAGGGGGGGCCCAGCACUGAAGCUGAGUGGGGGAGAGCAGGAUUUCUCACAGCCCAACUCCAACCGCAGAUGCAAAAUGGACGCAGCUCCUGGAAACAGCGUGGGGUGGGGGCUCCAGGACAGUGGCCGUGGCCUCUCCUCCCAUGUUCCCGGCCUAACAUCUGCAGUAGAAGCUACAUGGGCAGUAGCAACUCUAGUCCCGUGGCCCUGGAUUUGCGGGGUGGCUGCCAAUCUGAUGUUUUCAGAAUGGAUCCCCUCAGAGGUCAAGGCCAAGCCACAAGGCUUCCCUGUCCAAAAGGCAAAGUUAAAAUGCCACACAGACAACAGUGAUGACCACUAAGGAGACAGAUGGCUUGAGAGUGGAGUCUGAGGGUGCGGGAGCUCAGGCUAAACCCCGAUCCUCCCACCAGUUCCAGAAAAUUACUAACUUCUCUGUGCCUCAGUUUCCCCUUUGCAAAAUGAAGGUUAUAUUAUCACAUACUUUAGCACAUACUUUACAAUGGUCUUAUGAGGGCUGGGCAUGGUGGCUGACACCUGUAAUCCCAGCACUUUAGGAGGCCGAGGCAGGUGGAUCACUUGAGGCCAGGAGUUCAAGACCAGUCUGGCCAAAACAAGGCAAAACCCCGUCUCUACAAAAAAUACAAAAAUUAGCCAGGCAUGGUGGCACAUGCCUGUAAUCCCAGCUACUCAGGAGACUGAGGCAGAAGAAUUGCUUGAACCCAGGAGGUGGAAGUUGCAGUGAGCCAAGAUUGCGCCACUGCAUUCCAGCCUGGGCAACAGAGAAAGACUCCAUCUCAAAAAAAAAAAAAAAAAAAGUUCUCAUAAGGAUUAGAACGGUCAUUACAAGCUAAAUGCUUAGACUUUUGCCAGGCAUAUAGUUAAUGCUAGAGAAUGUUAGCUAUAAUGAUGAGGAAGGUGACGACGAUAAGGAGGGUGACAAUAAAUUUGGGGUGACUCCAGGGCUCUGUGAUGGAGAACUACAAGGCAUGCCCAGGAAGUGUGGAUUCCUCCAGAGGUAAGAUGGCUUCUGUAGGACGUGGAAGGCAGAAAGCCCCAAUUCAUGGUCAUAUGAGUGCGACAGUCAGCUGGUGAGGCAGUCAGCACCUGCCCUUCAUGUGGUCCAACAGAGGGACCUGGGUCCUCUUCUGUCUCUAUCCCCAUGAUGCAGCCAGACUCUGUCUCUCCCAGGGUCUCGCCCAUCACUUUUCCUGUCUUCCCUGGCUGCUCCUGCAAUCCUCCCUGCUGUCUUCUUCUCCUCUCUGGAGCUGCCACUCACCGUCAUACCAAUCAAUAGCAUUUCUACCUUUACAACUCUGGUGUUCAAGCCAGGCAUGUUGGUGCACACCUGCAGUACCUGCUAUUCAGGAGGCUGAGGCAGGAGGAUCUCUUGAGCCGAGGUGUUCAAGGCUGCAGUGCACUAUGAUUGUGUCUGUGAAUAGCCACUGUGCUCCACCCUGGGCAACAUAGCAAGACCCCAUCUUA
Molecule: non-coding RNA, 2400 nt
Organism: Callithrix jacchus (white-tufted-ear marmoset)
Lineage: Eukaryota; Metazoa; Chordata; Mammalia; Primates; Cebidae
Source: RefSeq, a predicted model, not a curated record